This 253-nucleotide ribosomal RNA is filed under the name uncultured bacterium. RNAcentral describes it as "partial 16S ribosomal RNA". It matches the Rfam family "Bacterial small subunit ribosomal RNA", at positions 524 to 776 of the family's 1533-position model. The record is from RNAcentral.
UACGGGGGGGGCAAGCGUUGUUCGGAAUUACUGGGCGUAAAGGGCUCGUAGGUGGCCAACUAAGUCAGACGUGAAAUCCCUCAGCUUAACUGGGGAACUGCGUCUGAUACUGGAUGGCUUGAGUUUGGGAGAGGGAUGCGGAAUUCCAGGUGUAGCGGUGAAAUGCGCAGAUAUCAGGAGGAACACCGGUGGCGAAGGCGGAUCUCUGGGCCUUACCUGACGCUGAGGCGCGAAAGCUAGGGGAGCAAACAGG